Molecule: ribosomal RNA, 427 nt
Filed under: uncultured Legionella sp.
Lineage: Bacteria; Pseudomonadati; Pseudomonadota; Gammaproteobacteria; Legionellales; Legionellaceae
Also listed under: 1 other name
Description: bacterial SSU rRNA
Rfam family: Bacterial small subunit ribosomal RNA
Source: RNAcentral
UGGGGAAUAUUGGACAAUGGGGGAAACCCUGAUCCAGCAAUGCCGCGUGUGUGAAGAAGGCCUGCGGGUUGUAAAGCACUUUCAGUGGGGAGGAGGGUUAUUCGGUUAAGAGCUAGAUAACUGGACGUUACCCACAGAAGAAGCACCGGCUAACUCCGUGCCAGCAGCCGCGGUAAUACGGAGGGUGCAAGCGUUAAUCGGAAUUACUGGGCGUAAAGGGUGCGUAGGUGGUUUGGUAAGUUAGCUGUGAAAUUCCUGGGCUCAACCUGGGGGGGUCAGCUAAAACUGCGAGACUAGAGUGUAGGAGAGGGUAGUGGAAUUUCCGGUGUAGCGGUGAAAUGCGUAGAGAUCGGAAGGAACACCAGUGGCGAAGGCGGCUACCUGGCCUAACACUGACACUGAGGCACGAAAGCGUGGGGAGCAAACA